CUGGCUCAGAUUGAACGCUGGCGGCAUGCUUUACACAUGCAAGUCGAACGGCAGCACGAGUACUUGUACUUGGUGGCGAGUGGCGAACGGGUGAGUAAUGCAUUGGAACGUACCGAGUAGUGGGGGAUAACUGUCCGAAAGGAUAGCUAAUACCGCAUA
This 159-nucleotide ribosomal RNA is filed under the name Alysiella filiformis DSM 16848. Its description in RNAcentral is "16S rRNA. Bacterial SSU". It matches the Rfam family "Bacterial small subunit ribosomal RNA", at positions 19 to 175 of the family's 1533-position model. The record is from RNAcentral. Lineage: Bacteria; Pseudomonadati; Pseudomonadota; Betaproteobacteria; Neisseriales; Neisseriaceae.